GUUGUGAAAAACAUGGAAAAAGCCUGGAUUCAAUUAGAAAACACUGGAGGUAGAAUUAACUAACCCUGGGGCCUGAAUUCAAUUAGAAAACACUGGAGGUAGAAUUAUCUAACCCUGGGGCCUGAAUUCAAUUAGAAAACACUGGAGGUAGAAUUAACUAACCCUGGGGCCUGGAUUCAAUUAGAAAACACUGGAGGUAGAAUUAUCUAACCCUGGGGCCUGGAUUCAAUUAGAAAACACUGGAGGUAGAAUUAACAAACCCUGGGGCCUGGAUUCAAUUAGAAAACACUGGAGGCAGAAUUAACAAACCCUGGGGCCUGGAUUCAAUUAGAAAACACUGGAGGUAGAAUUAACAAACCCUGGGGCCUGGAUUCAAUUAGAAAACACUGGAGGUAGAAUUAACAAACCCUGGGGCCUGGAUUCAAUUAGAAAACACUGGAGGCAGAAUUAACAAACCCUGGGGCCUGGAUUCAAUUAGAAAACACUGGAGGUAGAAUUAACAAACCCUGGGGCCUGGAUUCAAUUAGAAAACACUGGAGGCAGAAUUAACAAACCCUGGGGCCUGGAUUCAAUUAGAAAACACUGGAGGUAGAAUUAACAAACCCUGGGGCCUGGAUUCAAUUAGAAAACACUGGAGGUAGAAUUAUCUAACCCUGGGGCCUGAAUUCAAUUAGAAAACACUGGAGGUAGAAUUAUCUAACCCUGGGGCCUGAAUUCAAUUAGAAAACACUGGAGGUAGAAUUAUCUAACCCUGGGGCCUGAAUUCAAUUAGAAAACACUGGAGGUAGAAUUAUCUAACCCUGGGGCCUGAAUUCAAUUAGAAAACACUGGAGGUAGAAUUAACUAACCCUGGGGCCUGGAUUCAAUUAGAAAACACUGGAGGUAGACUUCUCUAACCCUGGGGCCUGGAUUCAAUUAGAAAACACUGGAGGUAGAAUUAUCUAACCCUGGGGCCUGGAUUCAAUUAGAAAACACUGGAGGUAGAAUUAUCUAACCCUGGGGCCUGGAUUCAAUUAGAAAACACUGGAGGUAGAAUUAACUAACCCUGGGGUCUCGAUUCAAUUAGAAAACACUGGAGGUAGAAUUAACUAACCCUGGGGCCUGGAUUCAAUUAGAAAACACUGGAGGUAGAAUUAACAAACCCUGGGGCCUGAAUUCAAUUAGAAAACACUGGAGGUAGAAUUAACUAACCCUGGGGUCUCGAUUCAAUUAGAAAACACUGGAGGUAGAAUUAACUAACCCUGGGGCCUGGAUUCAAUUAGAAAACACUGGAGGUAGAAUUAACUAACCCUGGGGCCUGGAUUCAAUUAGAAAACACUGGAGGUAGAAUUAACUAACCCUGGGGCCUGGAUUCAAUUAGAAAACACUGGAGGUAGAAUUAACUAACCCUGGGGCCUGGAUUCAAUUAGAAAACACUGGAGGUAGAAUUAACUAACCCUGGGGCCUGGAUUCAAUUAGAAAAC
Molecule: long non-coding RNA, 1463 nt
Organism: Oncorhynchus keta (chum salmon)
Lineage: Eukaryota; Metazoa; Chordata; Actinopteri; Salmoniformes; Salmonidae
Exons: 7
Source: RefSeq, a predicted model, not a curated record